GUUAAUGUACAUAAUAGAAGAGCAUCAUACCAGGGAUCUUCUUUAAAUUAUGCGUGUCUUUCUUAGGGAGCAAUUCAAUUGUUCCAUGAGCGAGCCAGGUGGUCUGCGAGGAGCCGGGCUGUGAAGCUAAGAUGAGCCUUUAAAAUGCCCAAGAGGAACAGAAGGGGACACAGAAUCUCAGCGCAGUGAGAGCUCUGAGUGCCGAGGACAGAAGGGGACACAGAAUCUCAGCGCAGUGAGAGCUCUGAGUGCCGAGGACACGUGGUGGAGCCUGGGCCUCUGCUGGUCACUCAGUCAUGUCCGACUCUUUGUGAGCCCAUGGACUCUAGCCCGCCAGGCUCCUCUGUCCAUGGGGUUUCCCAGGCAAGAGUACUGGAGUGGGUUGCCAUUUCCUUCUCCAGGGGAUCUUCCCAAUCCCAGGACUGAACUCACAUCUCUUGCAUUGCAGGCAGACUCCACCAUCUGAACCACCAGGAAAACACGCACGAUGGAGUGAGGAAGUGCAUAAAAUGCUGUGUGCAGAUGUUCCUGUGUGAGCUGGAAGAGGAGGACUGGUCCCUCUUUGUCUGAGAUCAUGUGGAGUCCCUGCUGUGAACCAGGUCUCUCCUGUUCACCCUGGAGGGCUCAGCUAAAUGCCAUGAUAGCUAAUUAUCACCCAGAAGCCCCCAUCCCUACCUGGGCAGGGUCCCCUGCAAGAGGCUUUUGUAGCGCAGUGAUCAGCACUUCUGCAGAAUGGGACCCAUCCACGUUGCGGCAUCACCAUCUGCAUCCUACUCUGUCCCUGCAGCAGACUGAAAGUGUUCUCAGGGCAGGAACUUUCUCAGGUACCUGAGGCCUCUUGGUAAGUACAUAUUGCUAAUAUGAAUAUUCAUUGGAAAGACUGAUGCUGAAGCUGAAGCUCCAAAAUUUUGGCCAUCUAAUGCGAAGAACCAACUCACUGGAAAAGACCCUGAUGCUGGGAAAGAUUGAGGGCAGGAGGAGAAGGGAAUGACAGAGGAUGAGAUGGUUGGAUGGCAUCACUGACUCAAUGGACAUGGGUUUGAGUAAGCUCUGGGAGCUGCAGUCCAUGGCGUCUCAAAAGAGUCGGACAUGAACAACAGCAACAUAUAUAUAUAUAAUGAGUGUAACUGGCUAGAUGGGAGAGGCUAGGCCAGCCUCAGGUAGAUGCUUGUGAACCCGGGGAGGGUCAUAUUUCUUUUCAUUAUUGGAUAAAUGGUUAAUUCUCUUUUAACGAGCCAAAGGAAAAACAAAUUUACCAAGUUGACAUUUAGCAAAAGCCAUUUCGACAUCUAAAGAUGUUCUUAGUUCUGCAACUCUGGAUGACCUUGCACUUGAAAAUGUCACUGCCAGUUUGCUGGGCUGAUUAGGGUUGCCCGUUCGCUCUUGCCUCUAAACCCCUGCCCUGCCCAUUUCUUUCCUCAGCUGGGGUUUCCUCCAACACACUCCCACUUUGGCUAGAAUUCCAUGCUCCCUGCUCUCUCCUCAGCUCAAGGUGAGUUUCAUCUGGGCUCUUGAGAGCAGCUGGGGAAAUACUCUCUGUAUUUAGGUCUCAUGUGGUUGUGACUGGACACAGGGUGAUGUCCUGGGGAGGAGACAGUCUCUGCAGCCUGGACCAGCUGUUCAGCGUUGACACGGCUGAAGGGUUCUGUCAUUCCAGUUGACCAUGGCCAGCUAAAAUGUGUGAGCUUGCUGGGAGCUAAUAGUUCCAAAUCUGUGUACUGUAUAGGGCUAUGGGAACAGAUGAUGGUGGGUCUUUUCCAAUGCAUUUGAUUUGUCCAUUGUCACAUGAACCAGAGAGGGGGAGGAAGGUCUGUAAUACACUGAGCUGUUUCUCCAAAACUUACACCUGGAACCUCCUUCUGAGAAUAUAUAAUCUCUUACCUUGCCUUGUCCUAUAGGAAUUAAAAAAGAAAAGCAUUUUGUCACUUUCUCGUGUUACCAAAAUUGAAUUUAAGAAUUUUUAGACAUGUUUUUCCCCAUCUAAUUAUUGAUGCAUGCUGUUCUAUUUACUCUAAAUUAAUUAUGUAAGAAAAGCAUGAUUCAUCCACAAAGACACUCAGUAAUUGCAUAGUUGAUCACACUUGGUUGAGAAACACAAUUUUAAAAUGUAAAUGGAAAUUUAAUUAUGUGUUAGCAUUGAAAAUAGGCAAGACCUGCUUUUGUGACCUCACAUUUGGAAUUCCUGCAUUUUGACUGAAAAAAAUUCAACUGAUUAAUUUUGAGUUUUAUCUCUAAAUAUUGACAUAAAAGAGGAGAACAGGUCACUUGCCGUUACUUAUUUAAACUAUCCCAUUGGUGGAGUGGAUAGUUUCAUUCCCAGUAAAGGAAGAAGCAUGCAUUUAAUUCUCAUUAUAGCUUUUUUACUUUAACAAUGGGUUCUGGAAUGCCAGAGACAGCCUGAAGGGCCACUAAGGCUUUUGACUAAAUAAAUGAAAUUUAGAGAUUAGGCUCAGAAAAUAUAGGAGUGAUUUGGCAGAAUUAUCAUUUCUUGAAAAAAUUUUUGAUGUGGACCGUUUUUAAAGUCUUUAUUAAAUUUGCUGCAAUAUUGCUUCUCUUCUAUGCGGUGGUUUUUGGCUGCAAGGCGUGUGGGAUCUUAGCUUCCUGACCAGGUGCUGAACCCACACCCCCUUCACUGGAAGGUGAAGUCUUAACCACUGGACCCCCAGGGAAGCCCCAGAAUUAUCACUUUUAAGCUUCUUGUGUGGGAGGCAGCUUCUAAGAUGAUUCCUUCUUCUAGAGAGUGGGCUGAACCUGGUGAAACUGAUGGGAUAACAAAGAAACUGACGGGAUAUUACUUCCAAGGACAGGUUGUAAGGGACUGUGACUUCUCUUUUGCUCUCCUUCUCUCUUCUCACUUGCUCAUGCUGAUGAACCUAGCUGCCAUGUUAUAAGGAAGCCUCCACAUACACCCUCCAGGGUGACUUCCAGCCAACAGCUGGUGACGAACUGAAGCUCUCAGUCCAACGCCCCACGAGGAGUGGAAUCCUGCUGAAAACCACGGAGUGAGCUUGGAAAUGGAUCUCGUCCCAGUCAAGCCUUUAGAUGACUGCAGCCCCCCUCAACACCUUGAUUGUAGCUUGUGAGACCUUGUGAGCCAGAGGACUCAGCUAAACUGUGCCCAGAUUCCAGAGUCACAGACAUAAUGUGACAUAGCUCAUGCUUUUAUUUUAAUCCACUAAAGUUAGAGUAACGUGUUAUGCUGCAAUAGGUAAGUAACACAUUAUUGACCAGAAAUGUAUUAAUAUGUCUUUAGUUACCUGAAUGCUAUUGACUAGAGUGCCUCAAUAUAUAUACUUGUGUGUUCACUUACGUAACAAAUUAUAGGCCACAGGUGUCAGUUUCUGCAAAAAUCUCCUGGUCAAUAAAGAGUUAGAAUGCUUCAUUUCUUGGUUGCUGAUUUCCACAUCACUGUUUCUUAUGCUUAGGUCUUUAACCAGAGGCGACGCAUUAAGGGAAAUCUGGUACACA
Long non-coding RNA from Capra hircus (goat), 3468 nucleotides. The record is from Ensembl. NCBI's taxonomy places the organism in Eukaryota, Metazoa, Chordata, Mammalia, Artiodactyla, Bovidae.